GAUGAACGCUGGCGGCGUGCCUAAUACAUGCAAGUCGAGCGAACGGACGAGAAGCUUGCUUCUCUGAUGUUAGCGGCGGACGGGUGAGUAACACGUGGAUAACCUACCUAUAAGACUGGGAUAACUUCGGGAAACCGGAGCUAAUACCGGAUGAUAUUUUGAACCGCAUGGUUCAAAAGUGAAAGACGGUCUUGCUGUCACUUAUAGAUGGAUCCGCGCUGCAUUAGCUAGUUGGUAAGUUAACGGCUUACCAAGGCAACGAUGCAUAGCCGACCUGAGAGGGUGAUCGGCCACACUGGAACUGAGACACGGUCCAGACUCCUACGGGAGGCAGCAGUAGGGAAUCUUCCGAAAUGGGCGAAAGCCUGACGGAGCAACGCCGCGUGAGUGAUGAAGGUCUUCGGAUCGUAAAACUCUGUUAUUAGGGAAGAACAUAUGUGUAAGUAACUGUGCACAUCUUGACGGUACCUAAUCAGAAAGCCACGGCUAACUACGUG
RNAcentral lists this ribosomal RNA (497 nucleotides) under uncultured bacterium. Its description in RNAcentral is "partial 16S ribosomal RNA". It matches the Rfam family "Bacterial small subunit ribosomal RNA", at positions 28 to 507 of the family's 1533-position model. The record is from RNAcentral.